Molecule: ribosomal RNA, 328 nt
Filed under: uncultured Lactobacillus sp.
Lineage: Bacteria; Bacillati; Bacillota; Bacilli; Lactobacillales; Lactobacillaceae
Description: bacterial SSU rRNA
Rfam family: Bacterial small subunit ribosomal RNA
Source: RNAcentral
AAGCUGUCGCUAAAAGGAUGGACCUGCGAUGCAUUAGCUAGUUGGUAAGGUUAACGGCUUACCAAGGCGAUGAUGCAUAGCCGAGUUGAGAGACUGAUCGGCCACAUUGGGACUGAGACACGGCCCAAACUCCUACGGGAGGGCAGCAGUAGGGAAUCUUCCACAAUGGACGCAAGUCUGAUGGAGCAACGCCGCGUGAGUGAAGAAGGUUUUCGGAUCGUAAAGCUCUGUUGUUGGUGAAGAAGGAUAGAGAUAGUAACUGGCCUUUAUUUGACGGUAAUCAACCAGAAAGUCACGGGCUAACUACGUGCCAGCAGCCGCGGUAAAU